AGUGAACGCUGGCGGUAGGCCUAACACAUGCAAGUCGAACGGCAGCACAGUAAGAGCUUGCUCUUACGGGUGGCGAGUGGCGGACGGGUGAGGAAUACAUCGGAAUCUACUUUUUCGUGGGGGAUAACGUAGGGAAACUUACGCUAAUACCGCAUACGACCUACGGGUGAAAGCAGGGGAUCUUCGGACCUUGCGCGAUUGAAUGAGCCGAUGCCGGAUUAGCUAGUUGGCGGGGUAAAGGCCCACCAAGGCGACGAUCCGUAGCUGGUCUGAGAGGAUGAUCAGCCACACUGGAACUGAGACACGGUCCAGACUCCUACGGGAGGCAGCAGUGGGGAGUAUUGGACAAUGGGCGCAAGCCUGAUCCAGCCAUACCGCGUGGGUGAAGAAGGCCUUCGGGUUGUAAAGCCCUUUUGUUGGGAAAGAAAAGCAGCAGGUUAAUACCCCGCUGUUCUGACGGUACCCAAAGAAUAAGCACCGGCUAACUUCGUG
Molecule: ribosomal RNA, 492 nt
Filed under: uncultured bacterium
Lineage: Bacteria
Description: partial 16S ribosomal RNA
Rfam family: Bacterial small subunit ribosomal RNA
Source: RNAcentral